Molecule: ribosomal RNA, 1361 nt
Filed under: marine metagenome
Description: bacterial SSU rRNA
Rfam family: Bacterial small subunit ribosomal RNA
Source: RNAcentral
ACAUGUGGGUAUCUACCCUUUGGCCUGGAAUAACACGAGGAAACUUGUGCUAAUACCGGAUAAGUCUUUACGGAGAAAGCUUUAUGCACCAUUGGAUGAGCCUGCACUUGAUUAGUUUGUUGGUGGGGUAAUGGCCUACCAAGACUUUGAUCAAUAGCUGAUUUGAGAGGAUGAUCAGCCACAUUGGGACUGAGACACGGCCCAAACUCCUACGGGAGGCAGCAGUGGGGAAUCUUGCACAAUGGAGGAAACUCUGAUGCAGCGAUGCCGCGUGAGUGAAGAAGGCCCUUGGGUUGUAAAGCUCUUUCGUCGGGGAAGAAAAUGACUGUACCCGAAUAAGAAGGUCCGGCUAACUUCGUGCCAGCAGCCGCGGUAAUACGAAGGGACCUAGCGUAGUUCGGAAUUACUGGGCUUAAAGAGUUCGUAGGUGGUUGAAAAAGUUGGUGGUGAAAUCCCAGAGCUUAACUCUGGAACUGCCAUCAAAACUUUUCAGCUAGAGUUUGAUAGAGGAAAGCAGAAUUUCUAGUGUAGAGGUGAAAUUCGUAGAUAUUAGAAAGAAUACCAAUUGCGAAGGCAGCUUUCUGGAUCAUUACUGACACUGAGGAACGAAAGCAUGGGUAGCGAAGAGGAUUAGAUACCCUCGUAGUCCAUGCCGUAAACGAUGUGUGUUAGACGUUGGAAAUUUAUUUUCAGUGUCGCAGCGAAAGCGAUAAACACACCGCCUGGGGAGUACGACCGCAAGGUUAAAACUCAAAUGAAUUGACGGGGACCCGCACAAGUAGUGGAGCAUGUGGUUUAAUUCGAAGAUACGCGCAGAACCUUACCAACACUUGACAUGUUCGUCGCGACUUUAAGAGAUUAAAGUUUUCGGUUCGGCCGGACGAAACACAGGUGCUGCAUGGCUGUCGUCAGCUCGUGUCGUGAGAUGUUGGGUUAAGUCCCGCAACGAGCGCAACCCUCACUUUUAGUUGCCAUCAUUAAGUUGGGCACUCUGAAAGAACUGCCAGUGAUAAGCUGGAGGAAGGUGGGGAUGACGUCAAGUCCUCAUGGCCCUUACGUGUUGGGCUACACACGUGCUACAAUGGUAUUUACAAAAGGAAGCAAAACGGCGACGUUUAGCAAAUCCUUAAAAAAUACCUCAGUUCGGAUUGCACUCUGCAACUCGAGUGCAUGAAGCUGGAAUUACUAGUAAUCGUGGAUCAGCGUGCCACGGUGAAUGCGUUCCCGGGUCUUGUACACACCGCCCGUCACACCAUGGGAGUUGGUUCUACCUUAAGGCAAGGUUUAAAACCCUUGACCACGGUAUAGUCAGCGACUGGGGUGAAGUCGUAACAAGGUAGCCGUAGGGGAACCUGCGGCUG